GGCUCUAGUCGGCCUCUGGAGAUCUGCAGCUGGGUUAUUUUACUUCUGAAACGGACGACACCUGCCCCGCGCACCCCAGCGGCUCCUCCACACGGAGAGAUGGUGUCAGUCAAAGGCCGUCUAGAUGACGAGUUUAUGAAAUUGUUCCUGGCCCGUGCCGGGCACGACCUUGCAGAGAGCCCAGAAGAUGAAACCCCAGCCCUGCCAGGAGCUCACCUGCUAAUUAGGAGGACAACGAAUCACCUCACCUCCCUAGACUUUGCUUCUCCUUUAUUCAGUGAGGGAUUGGACUAGCUGGUCCUUAAGGACUUUUCAGAAAGUCUGGUUCUGGGAGAUGACCAAUGGGAUCAUCUUAUGCUAUGAGCUUUCCUGGAAUGACAGGUAAUGGAGAGUGAGGAGAUUUUACCUGAUAUGGUCCUGUUUGCACCGUCAGCCAGCAACCUUUCUGGGAAGCAUGCUUAUUAUGUACCAACAUAGAAGCUUGAAUAUAAGGUCUGCCCACAUCAGUGCCCACCAGGAAAACUGCUGCUUGUGUUAUCAAGAAUUUAAAGGCCAUGCUAUCCAUCAUGUGUUACCUCACAUUGGUGUUCCCCGCUUCUUUCACUCAGAAUGCUAACUCUUCAGAGACACAGGAAAGUGCCAGUUUCAACAAAUGCAAUGAUUUAAAGCCAUAAAUGUAACAGGAAGAUCUAAUUCUGGAAGACAUACAAAUGCCGAAAGGAAAAUUAAAGCCACUUACCCCGAGGAAGAGAUGAAGGUGAAGAACUUUCUGGGCCUGAGUCUGUGGAUGGGUUCUCUACCUGGCCUGUGCCUUGUUGCCUGUUCCUUUACUGUACAUGUGAUGACAAGAAAAGAAGAUGGACCCUCCAUGUUGAACAUGCCUGGCCCUCAGAUGAGUAAACAGGAAGACUGAACUGUUUCUCAACUCCCAAAUUCAGGCUUCUUUCAAAAUCUACAGUAUCAUUGGGGGCUGUUAUACCAGGACACAUGGAGGUGAAGAACUAAAGCAAAAUCGUGUCUACUUCACAGUUUUGCCUAAGGCUGGGCUUAAUUCUUAAAAAGAUAAAACUCUGCAAAGACAAUGUCUAGCACUUAUAUCUCCAGUAACUCCUGUCAAGGUUUAUUGUUGCUUGUUCAUCAUUGCAGUCCUGACUACAAGUGUGAUUGCACUUUCUAUUGUUUUGUCAGAAUUUCCUGAAAAGAUACAAAGGCCCUUCUGACCAUUGGAUUGGCCUUAGAAGAGAAUCAUCCCAUCGCAUUUGGAAAUGGACAGACAACAUGGAAUAUAAUAACAUGCUUGCUAUCAGAGGAAGUGGAGAAUGUGCCUUCCUGAAUGACAAUGGAGUCAACAGUGGCAGAAUCUACAUGAACAGAAAAUGGAUUUGUAGCAAGCCAAACAAUUAUGUCUACAGUUGCCAGUUAUGUCCCCACUGGGAUACUACCUAGUAGAGCUGUGAGAAGAGGGCCACCAUCCUCCAGACUCCAGAAUGGUGGAAUCAGCAGCAGCUUCCACCAUGCCCCUGGAAAAACUGCAAGUAACAGACCUGCACAUGUAUCCCCUACAUCUAAAAUAAAAGUUGGAAAAAAUGGAACUUUGAUGUUAAGAUGCACUGAUACAAAACUUAAAUUUUGGUCUCCUACAUUAAAACAAUAUGAGUCUCUUAAAAUAUUGAUUUGUUCUUAGUAAGAUUACAAGAGGCUUUGAUUUUUAAUUCUGCAAUGUUUCCUUAACAGCCAUUCUGAAUUACAAACUAAUUCCUAUUUCUGCCACAUUCCUUCCUGAGAACUGUCUAGUCCUGGUUUGGGAUUUAUCUUAAAGGUCUAGAAAGGCAACAUUUUACUUCAGCAAAACUUGAUUCUAUAUUGUUGUUUUUUCUUAAUGUGUCAAAAUUGUUUUGUUACUAGGAUUUCCUAUGUUGUUAUUAAAUGUAUUCCCCUGAUCAAGGUCACUGGCCUAGAAAACAAAGAUUCUGUGUUUUACCAAGAUAAUUCCCAGUGCUUCAUGGUGUCUUUAUUAGGCUUUGACUGCUUAGGGAAACUGAGCCUUAAAAGGGUAAAAGUUUUUCCAUCCAUGUAACUUUCUGAGGUCUUUAGGUUGUCACUCUGAUUAAAUGAGUAGUAUUCUUAGCAGUGACUUAUUAUCUGUUGAAGGAAGUAUUUUAAGCUUUUUGACAUCUUUGGCAGGUUUCUCUAGAAUCCAAAUCCUAAAUUAAGCCUUUUGGCCUAAAAAUGACUGGGAUUUUUCCAGGUGGACCCCCUAGAUAUGCUCCUCCAAAGGCUUGUCUUUCUUGUAGAGUUAUUAAAUGAUUAGGCUUAUUUGGCAAAUACUGCUAGAAGCAUUGUCAAAUAAGAAAUGGUGUUUUACCUUUCUUUAAGCUGUGUUUGUGUAAGUUCAUCAUUUAUAGAAAUGUGAAAUUUUAUGAGAUUCCUAAGAUACUGACAUGCUGAGAUACCUGUAAUAAUUGCAAUUUUUAUGUUGGAUGAUUGUAUGCCACAGAAGCACUUAAAUUUCCUGGUUAAUUGGUAACGUUAAUCAGAUCUUUACCUAUGGCUGUUCUGGGUUUUUGUCAUUCACAGUUAUUAUUUUAAUUUCUUCUUUGGAAGCGUUCGCAAUCAGCUAUAGUCCAAAAUUGCUAAUUAAGAUCAAGCAAAACAAAAUUAAUUACGUAAAAUUAAUUUAUAAGGAUGUUUUUAUGACGUAAAUGUUUUAUUUUCCAGAGCCAAGGAAAUUUUCUGUCACAAGCUAUCUACCGUUUGCAAUAAUUUG
Molecule: long non-coding RNA, 2767 nt
Organism: Homo sapiens (human)
Lineage: Eukaryota; Metazoa; Chordata; Mammalia; Primates; Hominidae
Source: Ensembl